CCUCGUGGUCUAUAAGAGGGAUGCUUUGGGAUGGCGCACGUGGGAGAAGAGCAGAGGGUCAGAGGGUGGGAGAGACUGCAAGCCGCCGCCGCCAACUUGCCGCCGGCCGUGGCCGGCUAGACGUCUCGUUAGCCUCUUACCGAACCCCAGUCCCACGAUCUUCCGGGUAUGAUCCCGAAGACAGAGCACGAGUUGCUGUUCGACGAGCUCCCUCUAAAUCGAGACUCCACGGACGAAGCCUCGUUUACUUAGAAUAAUUUGUUGAUGCGCUCUCUUGCACACGGGGCUAGUUUCUACAGUUUCGAAGCGAUCAGUCAACGUUGACCCUAUAACUCCUACGUGACUUCCUAGAUUCCUUUUCUCCACACUAUAGACGACGGUUUUUCAGCAGUUCCUGACGACGGCUUCCAAACGAUCGAUAGCGUGUUCUACUCUUUUCCCGACAACACCAACUCGAUUUGACGCUCUGACUGAAACACCGUUCUUUACUACACAAGGUCAUAGACCGAAGUAGGAACCGUUUCUACCGAAACAGUCGUGUCCUAGGGCCGUUUAACCAAAAAGGAAAACGAGGACGUAUAAACCUCUUGUACUCAUAAUUGGAUCUAGUAGGAUUUGAGUCACCACUUUGUUGACAAGUUUUACGACAAUGUCUUCAACGACGGUACCAACCCCUCUUACAUUUUGAGUCUGCUCCAAAGUACAACAGGUGCUGACGUGUACCACAGCAAAGUAGAAUAGACGUAUGGACAGGAGUCGGUCCAAACCCGGCGUAACGACCUAACUAAUGUAAUCUUCGUCUUCUAUCGUCACGAAGGGAACUACGAGAGUUCUCUCAACCCAGCAGAUAGCGUUACGUAUAACAACGUCGUUUUGGUAAUAAAAAUAGUUUUCUUAACCAAAGACGACGUCGAAACCUUUUACUUGCACUGCACGAGGCUUGAGUCCGACUCUCAAGUCCAUUUGGGGUUUACCGGUAUCUCUUUUACCAGCUUCCGGUUAACUCCUUCAUAAAACUUCUACAGCACGAAAACCUCGUUUUUAUGCAACAAUUACUAUCGUGUUUGUAAUUCUGAGACGACUUACUAAACAGUUUUCUCCAACCAAGCUUUCAUUGUUAACCGUUAAAAUAGUCUUACCUUCAACCUCUUCCUUAACCCUCUGGACUCCUUUGUCGAUUUGGUCUUCGAUACCGAACACGACGCAUUUAACGCUCGACUCUACUUAGUUUACGAAACCAAGGCAAGAGGACUAUUAAUUGUACCCGAGAGUAGAAGAGAGGUUCCCCUACAAAAAAGACGUUUACAUAUUUACGGGUAGUUAGUUAAUCGAUCUACAACCGUUUGCUCAAUUUGUUUGUAUCACCGUUUAACUUAGUUUGACUUAUUACAUGUUGACUUUGCUUUCCGGUGCGCACGACUCUGGACGUUCCGAGGUUUACAACCCCAAACGAGCGAUAAACAGACUAACUUGACGCCACACUAGCUUAUUUCUAACGUUAUCGAGUUUCUUUUAAAACACGUACGACAAGGCCGCACAAUAUGGAAAACUAGAAGAACAACCUAACCUAUACGCAUAAACUGUGG
Molecule: ribosomal RNA, 1586 nt
Filed under: Triticum aestivum (bread wheat)
Lineage: Eukaryota; Viridiplantae; Streptophyta; Magnoliopsida; Poales; Poaceae
Description: partial small subunit ribosomal RNA
Source: RNAcentral